Non-coding RNA from Punica granatum (pomegranate), 1397 nucleotides. The record is from RefSeq and is a predicted model, not a curated record. NCBI's taxonomy places the organism in Eukaryota, Viridiplantae, Streptophyta, Magnoliopsida, Myrtales, Lythraceae.
AAUCGGGGUUGGCGGCGAUGACAGAGGUCACCGCCAACUUCAAUUGGAGUGAUGGCCACAAUCAGGGUCCCCAUUGCCGUAAUCUAAUUCCAGGUUCCUUCUAUUUCAGCGAUGGAGGCGACAAUUACGGCCAUGGAGGUGACGAUCAGGGAGCUCAAUGUAGUUGCAUACACCACAGUAAUGGAUGGUCUCUGCAAACAAGGAGAGAGAGCCAAGGCUUACAGCCUCUUCAACAGUAUGACCUAUAGAGGCAUUCGAUACAGUCACGUACAGCUCCAUGAUCUAUGGCUUGUGUUGUUGUGCAGGACCGUGGAAAGAGGCUGUGGUUCUGCUGAUCAAGAUGGCCAGCUGAACGUGAUUUAAUUUCUUGCACCUGUUUAAUUCAUGGUUUGUGCCAUCUCCACCAGUGGAGAGAAGCCACCUUUUGGUCCCAGCAGAUGAUGAUCGAGAGCAUCGAGCCUGAUGUUGUGACUUACAACUCCUUGAUUCAUGCUCAUUGCACCGCAUGCCGAUGGGAAGAGGUUGAGGUAUUGUUAGGGUCAAAAGAAUGGAUGAGGCAGUGCAUUUGUUCCGAGAAAUGCAAGAGAAAGGCUUGAAUCCAGAUAUAGUUACUCAAAGCAGUCUUAUUGGCGGGUUCUGUCGCACAGGGAACAUUUAAGCUCCUGUAGAGCUUCUGCAUGAGAUGGAGUCAGUUGGUCAAUGUCCAGAUCUUCAAACUUAUGAGAUCUUGUUAAACGGUCUGUAUGAGACCCAUAAUCUCGAUGUGGCGAUUGGACUGCUUCGGAAAAUGGAAGAUCAGAAGAUAACCAACUCAUGGGGCGGUUGGAGUAUAACAGGAGGGACUAUAAUGAAUCCGGGUAUUUGGAGGUGUGGCCGGUGCACAUAUUAUGUCUUAUGAAACCUCAUAUUGUGAUUUACACUAUUAUCACUGCUGGCCUAUGCAAGUGUGGGAGACUUUAAAAUGCCAAGAAACUUUUUUAUGCCUUGGAAGAAAGAGGUUUGCAGCCUGAUGUUGUGGCAGUGAUAUCAGAAAUGGGGUAGCACGCAGAAACAAGCUUGAUUUUCUUUCGAGCAACAACCCUGUGACAAUUCAGUCUGUUGUGAUUGUUGUUUCUUGGAAGUUCAAAACGUGCCAUAUAUUUUAGAUAUUUGACGAGGAUGUGGAGUUGAUUGAAAAGCUAUGUUUUAGAUUGGUAGACAAGCACAAAUAAUGUAAGAGAAUCUGUGCCUGAAAGCAGAUUGAAGACAGUGGUCUCGUAGUUAACAUGGAGAGGCCGUGCUUCAGGUUUGAACAACUGUAAAACAUGGAGUUGAAAGCAGAAAAACAGGAAGAUGGAAAUGUUCACCAGGUUUCAAUGGCCAUGAUUUAUUUCCUUAACCGAAUUUAAAGAUUAUUU